This is a long non-coding RNA of Vicia villosa (hairy vetch), 2514 nucleotides long. RefSeq lists it as uncharacterized. The transcript is spliced from 8 exons. The record is from RefSeq and is a predicted model, not a curated record. NCBI's taxonomy places the organism in Eukaryota, Viridiplantae, Streptophyta, Magnoliopsida, Fabales, Fabaceae.
UUGAUUAAUCUAAUCGUUUCCGAAAUCGCUUCUCACUCACUUAUCGCGCCUCUCACAGUCUCGCCUUCAUUUCUAAAACGCUUCUCAGUUCUGCACAUUCUAGUUCGAGUGCUUCUCACUUCCAAGUUUCUUCUUCGAGCAUAAUCUUGACGCCAAUCAAACAGUGUGACCUUCAACUACUGAACGUGGAUACCGUCGUAGUUCAAAAGGAAUUUACUAGGAGCAGCAAUUCAGUGACUUGUCCUUUAGUGAUGUAUGGACUUGUGGAUAUAUGGAUAUAUGGACAAAUGAGAUGUCCAAACUAAGGGAAAAGGAAAAGCUUCAAAUUCAGAGUAUUCAUUCUACUGGCUCCAUUCAACAUGAAACUAGCCAAAAUACCAAGCUUUAAGUUGCAUAAGUGUCUUUUUUGAUAAUUCUGUUGCGAAGAAUCAGUAAAGCCUUCUCCCUGCUGGUCCCAUGCUGCAGAGAAGUUCUAUGAAAUAAGGUUUUAUACCCCGAUUGUGAUACUAGAGACAUUGAGAACCAUUAUGUUGCAGCAUAGAUAGCUGUCUUUAGUGUUUGACAAAAUCUAUAUAGUCUUUGGUGUUUGGCGAAGUGGAAGGUACGGCGCAGCAACUUAAGAGGUGAAGGUAUAAAAUGGAAGCUACGAGGCGUUGGUUUAGUAAGUUCAGGUCGAAAAAUAAGGAAGCUACAAGCAAGGCGAAAGAAGGGUCGAAACCACCGAUCAAUGAAGAUCCGCCUUCGAAUGCAACUCAACAGAGAGUUGAAGCGGCGAAACAUUACAUAGAAAAUCAUUAUAAGAAGCAGAUGCAGAGCCUGCAGGAGAGGAAAGAAAGGUAUAACUUAUAUUUCGGGUCAUAAACCGUUCUCUUUGGUUACAGUUAAUGCUUAUAGUUAUUACUCCUCUUGCUGUCAAAAGCUUCAAGUAGCGGUACUGAGUCUUUGGAAAAGCAUAAUUCUAGCUUUUUUGUAAGCACAUGCGAAGAGGAUCGGUGUGUCUGUGUCCCUCCUCCAAGUGAAUGAAGAAUAUCUUCAAAUAGCAACUCAUCACAAGGUAUAGCCAGAGGACCACUCUCGUUAAAUCCAUAUCCUUCAUAUGCUUGGUCUAGCAGUUGUUGAAGCACUGGAUGAUUCAGGUAGUCAGCUCUUAUCACAAACCUCCUGUUUUCCUCUCCUACAGUCACAGCCAGGUGACCUCUCGGUACAUCUGACGGUGGUUUCUUCCAACUGCAGGCAUUCUUGCGCCAUGUGCAUGCCAUUUUUUAUCAGAAGGAAAGGUAGUGAAACUUACGCAUGAAUCUAUUCAUGUUGUGCUUGGAUUUGCUUCGGCAAUUAUAAGUGAGAAGGAUAUCAGGGCAGAGUUUGUGUACAAAAUGAAACACAGGCAUGAAGUGUAUGCGAGCAACUCUCACAAGCAGACAUGUGAUAAAGGUUGGAACCACAAUACAGUUUUUGGCCAAGAGGUUAUGGACAUUCUUGGUCCAAGUUUGUGGGAUGUAUGGUAUACCUCAGACCAGUGAUUAGUAUAAGCUUAACUGAUGCGGGUCAUGAUUCUAAGGAAAAGGUUUUGACGAUUCAUCCUACGAGUUCCGAGAAUUUCUCUAAAAACUAAGUAGAAAGCUGAAGAUGUUACCGGUACAACAUGUGCUUUUGUCUUGGCAAAUCUCAGCUGUGUUAGAGUCACAAUCUUGAUAGUUCCAUAUACAAAUAAUGCAAGAUCAUGUGUUAAGGGAGGCUAUGGUAAAAUCACAGAGUGAUUUGUGUCACAACAUUCUUAUCUUCAAUUAAUUUGACUUGUCGGGGUAUGAACUAUUCCAUCAAGUGGAGCCAUACAUUAACCAGGUUCAGAAACAACUUUGACUUUAAAGCCUUUGUUUCCAUAGAGAUUUAUGUUAGAUUACCAAUUAUCAUUUUGCAUCUCAAGGGUGGUUAGCUGAAAAUGCAAACGGUUCAUUCUAGGCUACCUAUUUUGUAGGUUUUAACUUAUGCGGGUAUACUCUGCUCUAUUUUGUUUAUUGACACAAUGAAAAAAUGUUUAUGAAAUGAUGGUUUAUUAUUGUGUCUUACCAUACAAUAUUAGUAUUUAUAAUGAGGUUUGAUGCUGCAAAUUGUAUUUACUAUUGUUAUAUUUUAUACUCAUAAAACAUGUUUGUGUGUGUAUACUGUACAUAGUUGAAGUGGAAUAAAAGAAUACAAGUUAUUUUGUUUAUUUGAUAUCAUUAAUUUUAAUCUUUUAUGAAGUAAUUUUGAUCAAUCUUUUUCUAUUAUUUAAGGAAAAAUUUAGAUGAGUUUAGAUGCUGAAACAUGAAAGUGAAGAUUCAAGAACAUUGAAAGUUGUGGAUAAAUUAACAUAUGUAGGAAUUUUAUAUUUUAUAUGAAAAUUCAAUAUAAAAAAUAGGAACAUGGAGUUUGAUUUAUAGUAAGAUAUUGAUUAUAUGAUUUCUUUUGUAAUUAUUAUUUUUUAAUAUAAUAUGAAAUCAAACUUUAUAUGUUAAACUAUAUGAAUUUAUUUAA